UGGGGAAUUGUUCGCAAUGGGCGCAAGCCUGACGACGCAACGCCGCGUGGAGGAUGAAGAAUUUCGGUUCGUAAACUGCUGUCGAGCGGGACGAAAGAUGCGUGGGUUAAUACCCCGCGCAAGUGACGGUACCGCUAAAGGAAGCCCCGGCUAACUACGUGCCAGCAGCCGCGGUAAUACGUAGGGAGCAAGCGUUGUUCGGAUUUACUGGGCGUAAAGGGCGCGUAGGCGGCAUGUUAAGUCAGCUGUGAAAUCUCCGAGCUUAACUCGGAACUGUCAGCUGAUACUGAUGUGCUAGAGUGCAGAAGGGGCAAUCGGAAUUCUUGGUGUAGCGGUGAAAUGCGUAGAUAUCAAGAGGAACACCUGAGGUGAAGACGGGUUGCUGGGCUGACACUGACGCUGAGGCGCGAAAGCCAGGGGAGCAAA
RNAcentral lists this ribosomal RNA (426 nucleotides) under uncultured bacterium. RNAcentral describes it as "bacterial SSU rRNA". It matches the Rfam family "Bacterial small subunit ribosomal RNA", at positions 355 to 772 of the family's 1533-position model. The record is from RNAcentral.